CUACGGGUCGCUGCAGUGAGGAAUAUUGCACAAUGGGGGGAACCCUGAUGCAGCAACGCCGCGUGGAGGAUGACGCAUUUCGGUGUGUAAACUCCUUUUAUAUGUCAAGAAAAUGACGGUAGCAUAUGAAUAAGCACCGGCUAACUCCGUGCCAGCAGCCGCGGUAAUACGGAGGGUGCAAGCGUUACUCGGAAUCACUGGGCGUAAAGGACGCGUAGGCGGGCUUGUAAGUCAGGUGUGAAAUCCUACAGCUUAACUGUAGAACUGCACUUGAAACUACGAGCCUAGAGUAUGGGAGGGGGAGAUGGAAUUAGUGGUGUAGGGAUAAAAUCCGUAGAUAUCACUAGGAAUACCUAAAGCGAAGGCGAUCUCCUGGAACAUAACUGACGCUAAGGCGUGAAAGCGUGGGGAGCAAACAGGAUUAGAUACCCGUGUAGUC
Molecule: ribosomal RNA, 439 nt
Filed under: uncultured bacterium
Lineage: Bacteria
Description: partial 16S ribosomal RNA
Rfam family: Bacterial small subunit ribosomal RNA
Source: RNAcentral